Molecule: long non-coding RNA, 455 nt
Organism: Mauremys reevesii (Reeves's turtle)
Lineage: Eukaryota; Metazoa; Chordata; Testudines; Geoemydidae
Exons: 3
Source: RefSeq, a predicted model, not a curated record
GGAAAAAGGGAGUGGAUUCCUGAACUUCUCUUAUACAUAAUUUCCUAAAUAAGGGGUGAGUCUGCUGUGCCCAGUGAAGGAUUCAUCAGUAUAUAGGUUUUCCUUGAAGAGCACAUGUAUCUGAAGGUGAUGGGUGGAGAAAAAAAAAUCACAGAUCUAUGCCAACCAUGGUGAAGUGUGUCUUAGAGCACCUUUCCAUUUCACUUUUACCUGCCCAUUCAAAGAAAAAAAAUGUCUGCUUUCCAUGGAAGAUGUUUUGGCUUUUCAUCACAAAACCGAAAACCCAAGAACAGAAAACUUCUGGCUUUGUUUUUCAAUAAAAGUCAAAAUUCUCCACAAAAAAAGAGAAAUUUCUGACUCUGUCAACUAGUGUGUAUUAUCAGAGAGACUAAAAACAGAAAAGGAUAUACUGAUACUGCCAAAAGGUAUUUUAGUAAUGAGGGGACACUUCUCCA